RNAcentral lists this ribosomal RNA (499 nucleotides) under Burkholderia sp. RZ1MS13. RNAcentral describes it as "bacterial SSU rRNA". It matches the Rfam family "Bacterial small subunit ribosomal RNA", at positions 109 to 604 of the family's 1533-position model. Lineage: Bacteria; Pseudomonadati; Pseudomonadota; Betaproteobacteria; Burkholderiales; Burkholderiaceae. The record is from RNAcentral.
AKUAAUACAUCGGAACAUGUCCUGUAGUGGGGGAUAGCCCGGCGAAAGCCGGAUUAAUACCGCAUACGAUCUACGGAUGAAAGCGGGGGACCUUCGGGCCUCGCGCUAUAGGGUUGGCCGAUGGCUGAUUAGCUAGUUGGUGGGGUAAAGGCCUACCAAGGCGACGAUCAGUAGCUGGUCUGAGAGGACGACCAGCCACACUGGGACUGAGACACGGCCCAGACUCCUACGGGAGGCAGCAGUGGGGAAUUUUGGACAAUGGGCGAAAGCCUGAUCCAGCAAUGCCGCGUGUGUGAAGAAGGCCUUCGGGUUGUAAAGCACUUUUGUCCGGAAAGAAAUCCUUGGUUCUAAUAUAGCCGGGGGAUGACKKUACCGGAAGAAUAAGCACCGGCUAACUACGUGCCAGCAGCCGCGGUAAUACGUAGGGUGCGAGCGUUAAUCGGAAUUACUGGGCGUAAAGCGUGCGCAGGCGGUUUGCUAAGACCGAUGUGAAAUCCCC